Molecule: long non-coding RNA, 1208 nt
Organism: Syngnathus acus (greater pipefish)
Lineage: Eukaryota; Metazoa; Chordata; Actinopteri; Syngnathiformes; Syngnathidae
Exons: 3
Source: RefSeq, a predicted model, not a curated record
CCAAAAAAAAAAAAAAAAAAAAAUUCCUCAUGUGACCCCUUUAUUGCACAACCCACCACAACACAAAGUCUAACCCAGUGUACAUAAUGUUGCUAUGUAAAUGUUAACCACACCACUAACAAUCUAAUCCUUUCUAGACUCGAGGAUUUGAAAUACCCAAAUAGCACAUAUUGCUUGACCUCUUGACCUGGCUUCACAUGUCCAUCAAUGCUCUCAUAUUAUUUCUAAGUCUUAACUUUCUCUUUCCAAAUCGGAAAGAAAAAAUAGAUAUUUUCUACUUCUAUUUUUGGAGCUAACGUACAUCAUUUUCAAUCGGUUGAAUUGCAUGUUUGCAUUUGUUGAUCGACACCUUUGAUGUUUCGACAGGCGCCGGCCGACGAGAUCGCUCCUCUUUGACACACCCAAAAGUGUGGAAAGAAUGUGGGAAAUUCCACUGCAAUAUGCAAGUCCUUGACAACUGGGUUCCUACCUACAGAGUGAUUCACCACUAUUCCCAUGGAAACCUGAAGGGCAGAGAAAAUGUGAUGAAGCAGUAAGACAAAGACGUGUCUUCAAAGUUUAUCUACACACAAGCAGGUGAUGCAGGCGAGCCAAAGCUAACCGGCACUAGCGACGGCGCCAUCCCCGAAAAUGCCUCCAAAAGGCAGAGGUGAAACUCGAUGAGGACAACAGCGGAAGAAGGCGAUCAAGGUACUGCGACAAAACCGUGGUUAGCAGUGGUCUGUAUGGCCGACGCCGUCACUCUGCUCGAAAUCCUUUCCUUCCUAGAAUCAAAUAAUUGCUCCCAUUAUCCUGAUUAGCAGUUUAAUACUGCCAUUGACUCAACCAGAAACCUGGAUGCUAACUUCCAGACCAUCAAAUAUGAUCUCAUUCAAUUCACUCAGCCUUUCGCUCUGCAAUUAUUGCUAUUUGAAAAACUUGCGUCCUCACUGAAAGGGACUUUAAAUUAGAAGGCUAAAUGAACGGGGGGGAAAAAAGAAACGUGGGUGGGUGGAUGGCUUUUGUUUGUGGACAGAGCUAUUACAUUUAAGGUGGAGAAAACUCUGGGGUAUUUAUUAAACACUGCAAAAAAAUACAAAUGAUCAUAUGCAGAACAACAAAUACAGAUUUAUGAAAGCAAUAAAUUGAAGACAAAAAUGAGUCGUCAAAAGCAAGUUCAUCUUCUUGCAAUCAAACCUUCUUGCAGUGUGCUAUGAAUACAUAAAUAG